CCAGCGAAGAUGCCUCUGCCUCCAGGAAGCCCUCCCUGGCUCAGGAAAGGGCUAGGGCCACCUCUUUGCUUCCACAACCCUAGGAGCUGGCUCUAGCCCCCAGCACCAGUGCCUCCUGGUUGCUGGUGGCCUGACUUGGCAGCCUAGGCACCUUCACAGUGACCCGGGGUGUGCAGACUGCUAGGAGGGGGCAGGAGAGAAAGGACAGCACCCGAGAAGGGCUGAUUCCAGAAAGAUCCGAGGAGGCUUCUCUUGUGCCGGGGCCCCUUACCUGAAUGCCAUGGGGAAUGUUGUAGACUAUAAGGAUUGUCCCACAGUCCUCGUGGCCAGGGAGGGACACCUGGAACGUGAACACCUCCAUCUUCCCCCGGGGCUGGGUUCCAGUUUUCUCCCCAUAGAUGGUUUUGCAGGAAGGACACUGCAAGCUUCCAUCCUGGGACAAGGCAGAAUGCCGUGGACUGAGUCGGGGCCCCUGAGCGGGCACCCAGGCCAGCCACCCCGCUGGCUAGAUGGGAAAGAGGCCCACAGGGACACGGGUUUGGCCCCGAGUCACACAGUGGGUUCCAGGCGCAUUGCCCAACUCCCAGGCAGCCUCCUCACAAAGAAACUUGAUUCUAGAAGCUUCCUUGGAAAGAUAAGUUUUAACCCAGAAACUCAUGCCAUUUUCAUUAAAGGGACAAGGUACCCAGAGACUGGCAUCAGGUAAGAAAAUGAGGUUUAUGAGCAAAAGCUUGCACAGCCGAGUCAUGUUUAAGAUGAAAAAGAAAACCCUGUGAACGAGGGACUCAUAAGCUGGCAUCUUGGCUGGUACACGAUGGCACGGGGACACUGCGCAAAGGCCAGGCCCCGAGGCCCACCACGGGCCUUCGUUCUCUCCGUCCCCCUAACCUGUCCACUCCGGCUAAACUACACGAAAGGCAGGGCAGCCAGGCAUCGCCUGCCACCCCCAGGCCCAUCCUGCUGCAGGGCCAGGGCUGCAGACAUCUCAAGGCUGCCUCCGAGCAGGUCCUGGGCCUCUCACACGGCAGCCCCAGUCACCUGCUUAAGUGCAACAUGACAGGUACAGGCUGCGGGAAGGAGACCCCGACCCCCACCCCUGGCCCUGGUGGGCCAUGGGUACCUUGUUUCCGUUGCAGUACAUGGCCAGCAGGCAGAGCAGGUGGAAGGCGUGGCUGCACUUGGCCAAGCGGCCCACAGCCACCGGCCCAAAGGUCUUGCUGUCGGUCGCGUCGCUGUAGCCGGACGCCAUGGACAGCUUCUCCAUACAGAUGAUGCAGUCCUGGAGGGAGACCCAACCCGGGGAACGCUCACCCAUGGCCCCUGUGCCACAGCAGGCUGGGAGCACAGAGGGCUCACCGUCACCACAGCAGAGGAGACGGCAGGCGGCACCAAGCGUGGGGGCCGGUGUAACAACUGAAGCACAGGCGGAGAGGGCGGCCAGAACAGCCAGGCAGAGAGUUUGCAGGAGAAAGAGGCGCGAGAGUCCUCGGCUCUGGACUGGCACGAAUGACCUUGACCCCCGCCCCUCCAGAUUCUCCAGGACCCUCCACGCAAAUCGGAGAAAAGUGGUGCCACAGCCCCGAAGCGAGGCUCAGCAGAGAGAGGCCCAGGUGCAGCCGUGACGGGGGUCUGGCAGGCUGGGUUAGCCACAGGAACCCCGACCGGCCCUCCCAACAGCGGGGGGCAGGAUGGCUCUCUGGACGAGGCACCUUCCAGCG
Molecule: long non-coding RNA, 1718 nt
Organism: Globicephala melas (long-finned pilot whale)
Lineage: Eukaryota; Metazoa; Chordata; Mammalia; Artiodactyla; Delphinidae
Source: RefSeq, a predicted model, not a curated record